CGGGGGCAACCCUGGUGGCGAGUGGCGAACGGGUGAGUAAUACAUCGGAACGUGUCCUGUAGUGGGGGAUAGCCCGGCGAAAGCCGGAUUAAUACCGCAUACGAUCUACGGAAGAAAGCGGGGGAUCGCAAGACCUCGCGCUAUAGGCCGCGGCCGAUGGCAGAUUAGCUAGUUGGUGGGGUAAAGGCCUACCAAGGCGACGAUCUGUAGCUGGUCUGAGAGGACGACCAGCCACACUGGGACUGAGACACGGCCCAGACUCCUACGGGAGGCAGCAGUGGGGAAUUUUGGACAAUGGGGGAAACCCUGAUCCAGCAAUGCCGCGUGUGUGAAGAAGGCCUUCGGGUUGUAAAGCACUUUUGUCCGGAAAGAAAACCUUUGCACUAAUACUGUGAGGGGAUGUCGGUACCGGAAGAAUAAGCACCGGCUAACUACGUGCCAGCAGCCGCGGUAA
RNAcentral lists this ribosomal RNA (454 nucleotides) under Caballeronia sp. Its description in RNAcentral is "bacterial SSU rRNA". It matches the Rfam family "Bacterial small subunit ribosomal RNA", at positions 74 to 523 of the family's 1533-position model. Lineage: Bacteria; Pseudomonadati; Pseudomonadota; Betaproteobacteria; Burkholderiales; Burkholderiaceae. The record is from RNAcentral.